This 497-nucleotide ribosomal RNA is filed under the name uncultured bacterium. RNAcentral describes it as "partial 16S ribosomal RNA". It matches the Rfam family "Bacterial small subunit ribosomal RNA", at positions 28 to 507 of the family's 1533-position model. The record is from RNAcentral.
GAUGAACGCUGGCGGCGUGCCUAAUACAUGCAAGUCGAGCGAACGGACGAGAAGCUUGCUUCUCUGAUGUUAGCGGCGGACGGGUGAGUAACACGUGGAUAACCUACCUAUAAGACUGGGAUAACUUCGGGAAACCGGAGCUAAUACCGGAUAAUAUUUUGAACCGCAUGGUUCAAAAGUGAAAGACGGUCUUGCUGUCACUUAUAGAUGGAUCCGCGCUGCAUUAGCUAGUUGGUAAGGUAACGGCUUACCAAGGCAACGAUGCAUAGCCGACCUGAGAGGGUGAUCGGCCACACUGGAACUGAGGCACGGUCCAGACUCCUACGGGAGGCAGCAGUAGGGAAUCUUCCGCAAUGGGCGAAAGCCUGAAGGAGCAACGCCGCGUGAGUGAUGAAGGUCUUCGGAUCGUAAAACUCUGUUAUUAGGGAAGAACAUAUGUGUAAGUAACUGUGCACAUCUUGACGGUACCUAAUCAGAAAGCCACGGCUAACUACGUG